AUGGCGAAGUCUGGGUACACGCGCCCGCCGCCCGUCGCCGAGGACACAGCCGCGCUUCCCGCUCCCAGCGCCGUCCUGUACGUGGCCAACUGCGGGCCGGCGGUGGGGCUGACCCACGACGACGUCGCCGCGGCCUUCGGCGCCUUCGGGGAGGUCGAGGGGGUCAGCGCCGCCGACGACAGCGGCGCGCGCGUCAUCGUCCGGUUCCGCGAGCCCGCCGCCGCGGGGGCCGCGAUGGCCGCGCUCCACGGGCGCCCCUGCGGCCGCCUCUCCGGGCGCGUGCUGCACAUACGCUACUCGGUGCCCGCCCCGCCCAAGGCCGCCGUCGCCGUCUCCGCUCCCCCGGUGGCCCUCUCCUCGUCGGAGCUCGGCAUCCCGGGCAUUCACUUGGUCCAGGAGUUCGUCACCGCCGCCGAGGAACAGGAGCUACUUGCUGCUGUGGACAGUAGGCCGUGGAAAAGGUUGGCGAAAAGGCGAGUUCAGCAUUACGGUUAUGAGUUUCUGUAUGAAACCAGGAAUGUUGAUUCGAAGCAGUUCUUGGGUGAGUUGCCAUCUUUUGUUUCAAAAGUCCUCGACAAAAUUGUGACAUUCCCUGGUGUCAAGAAUUGUACUGGCAAACUGGUGGAUCAAUUGACGGUAAAUGAAUAUCCUUGUGGUGUAGGUUUGUCUCCACACAUAGACACACACUCAGCAUUCGAAGAAAUGAUUUUUAGUCUUUCUUUGGCUGGACCUUGCAUUAUGGAGUUCAGACAAUACCCGAAAGGCAGUUGGCGUGCUCCAAGUGUGGUCAGUGGAGCUGAUGAAGGUAGUAUCCAAGAUCCACAAUGCACGCGGAAAGCUGUAUUUCUACCUCCUAGGUCAAUGUUACUCAUGUCUGGAGAAGGCCGAUAUGCUUGGCAUCACUAUAUACCACACCAUAAGGUUGAUGACGUGGCUGGUCAAGUCAUUAAAAGAAAUUCGCGAAGGGUUUCCUUCACUUUACGAAAGGUGAGGAUGGGUCUUUGUGAAUGUGAAUAUGGGCAAUUUUGUGAUUCACAGAGCAAGUAA
Molecule: ribosomal RNA, 1047 nt
Filed under: Triticum aestivum (bread wheat)
Lineage: Eukaryota; Viridiplantae; Streptophyta; Magnoliopsida; Poales; Poaceae
Description: partial small subunit ribosomal RNA
Source: RNAcentral